CGGCCGGGCGAACGGGCUCGGCGCGCAGGUGGCUCCUCCUUCGCUUCUCCCGAUCCCCGGCCGUGCCAGGCACGGUGCCGGCUGCCGAGGGAACGCCUUUGUGCCCGGUCCUGGGAACCCGCGACGGCCGCCGCGCGCCCCGGUCCAUUGUUUCGCUUCUCUGGGUUCCAGGUAGGUGCGGGCGGCGCGCGGGGUCCGCACGACGUGUCACCCCGGCGGUUGGGGCGCCGGGACCCGCGGGCGCCGGCAGGGGCGUUCCCGGGCGCACGGCGGCGGUGCAGCACCUGAAGCGGUGGUGGUCGGCCAGCGGCGGCCUCCUGCACCUCACCCUCCUGCACCUUACCCUCCUGCUGAGCUUUGCUGGGCUCCGUGUAGACCUAGACCUUUACCUGCUACUGCCGCCGCCCACCCUGCUCCGGGACGAGCUGCUGUUCCUGGGCGGCCCGGCCAGCUCCGUCUACGCGCUCAGCCCCUUCUCGGCCUCGGGAGGGAGGGGGCGCGCGGGCCAGUUGCACCCCAAGGGCCGGGAGCUGGACUCUGCCGCGCCGCCCGAGGGCCCGCUGCUCCGGGAGGUGCGCGCUCGGGGUCCCCUUCAUCCCUCUCACCCCGGUGGAUGCGUGGCUGGUGCACAGCGUGGCUGCCAGGAGAGCGGACGAGGCCCACGGGCUGCUCGGCGCCGCCGCCGCCUAGUCCACCGGAGGAGCCGGCGCCAGCGUGGACGGCGGCAGCCAGGCUGUGCAGGGGGGCUGCGGGGACUCCCGAGCGGCUCGGAGUGGCCCCUUGGACGCCGGGGAAGAGGAGAAGGCACCCGCGGAACCGACGGCUCAGGUGCCGGACGCUGGCGGAUGUGCGAGCGGGGAGAACGAGGUACUAAGAGAAAAGCACGAAGCUGUGGAUCAUAGUUCCCAGCGUGAGGAAAAUGAAGAAAGGGUGUCAGCCCAGAAGGAGAACUCACUUCAGCAGAAUAAUGAUGAUGAAAACAAAAUAGCAGAGGAACCUGAUUGGGAGGCAGAAAAGACCACUGAAUCUAGAAAUGAGAGACAUCUGAAUGGGACAGAUACUUAUUUCUCUCUGGAAGACUUAUUCCAGUUGCUUUCAUCACAGCCUGAAAAUUCACGGAGGGCUUCUCAUUGGGAGAUAUUCCUCUUCCAGGCAGUAUCAGUGAUGGCAUGAAUUCUUCAGCACAUUAUCACGUAAACUUCAGCCAGGCUAUAAGUCAUGAUGUGAAUCUUCAUGAGGCCAUCUUGCUUUGUGCCAACAGUACAUUUAGAAGAGAUCCAAUAGCAAGGACUUCACAGUCACAAGAACCGUUUCUAAAGUUAAAUUCUCAUACCACCAAUCCUGAGCAAACCCUUCCUGGAACUAAUUUGACAGGAUUUCUUUCUCCGGUUGACAAUCUUUUUUUUUUUUUUUUUUUUUUUUUUGAGACGGAGUCUCGCUCUGUCGCCCAGGCUGGAGUGCAGUGGCGCGAUCUCGGCUCACUGCAAGCUCCGCCUCCCGGGUUCACGCCAUUCUCCUGCCUCAGCCUCCCGAGUAGCUGGGACUACAGGCGCCCGCUACCACGCCCGGCUAAUUUUUUGUAUUUUUAGUAGAGACGGGGUUUCACCGUGUUAGCCAGGAUGGUCUCGAUCUCCUGACCUCGUGAUCCGCCCGCCUCGGCCUCCCAAAGUGCUGGGAUUACAGGCGUGAGCCACCGCGCCCGGCCCUCCGGUUGACAAUCUUAUGAGGAAUCUAACAAGCCAAGACCUACUGUAUGACCUUGAUGUAAAUAUAUUUGAUGAGAUAAUGUCAUUGGCCACAGAAGACGACUUUGAUCCAAUCGAUGUUUCUCAGCUUUUUGAUGAAUCAGAUUCUGAUUCUGACCUGUCUUUAGAUUCAAGUCACAAUAGUACCUCUGUCAUCAAGUCUAAUUCCUCUCACUCUGUGUGUGAUGAAGGUGCUAUAGGUUAUUGUACUGACCAUGAAUCUAGUUCCCAUCAUGACUUAGAAGGUGCUGUAGGCAGCUACUACCCAGAACCCAGUAAGCUUUGUCACUUGGAUCAAAGUGAUUCUGGUUUCCAUGGGGAUCUUACAUUUCAACACAUAUUUCAUAACCACACUUACCACUUGCAGCCAAGUGCACCAGAAUCUACUUCUGAACCUUUUUCGUGGCCUGGGAAGUCACAGAAGAUAAGGAGUAGGUACCUUGAAGACACAGAUAGAAACUUGAACGUGAUGAACGGCGUGCUAAAGCUUUGCAUAUCCCUUUUUUCUGUAGAUGAAAUUGUCGGCAUGCCUGUUGAUUCAAUAGCAUGUUAAGUAGGUACUAUCUGACAGACCUACAAGUCUCACUUAUCCGUGAUAUCAGACGAAGAGGGAAAAAUAAAGUUGCUGCGCAGAACUAUCGUAAACGCAAAUUGGACAUAAUUUUGAAUCUAGAAGAUGAUGUAUGUAACUUGCAAGCAAAGAAGGAAACUCUUAAGAGAGAGCGAGCACAAUGUAUCAAAGCUAUUAACAUAAUGAAACAAACUGCAUGACCUUUAUCAUGAUAUUUUUAGUAGAUUAAGAGAUGACCAAGGUAGGCCAGUCAAUCCAAACCACUAUGCUCUUCAGUGUACCCAUGAUGGAAGUAUCUUGAUAGUACCCAAAGAACUGGUAGCCUCAGGCCAGAAAAAGGAAACCCAAAAGGGAAAGAGAAAGUGAGAAGAAACUGAAGAUGGACUCUAUUACGUGAAGUAGUAAUGUUCAGAAACUGAUUAUUUGGAUCACAAACCAUUGAAACUGCUUCAAAAAUUAUAUCUUUAAGUACUGCUACUUGAAUAACUCAGUUAAGGCUCUGUUUUGAAGCUUACAUGGACAAAUGUUUAGGACUUCAAGAUCACACUUGUGGGAAAUCUGGGGGAGCCAUAACUUUUCAUGAAAUGCAUUGUAUACAAAAUUCAUAGUUAUGUCCAAAGAAUAGGUUAACAUGAAAACCCAAUAAGACUUUCCAUCUUGGCAGCCAUCCUUUUUAAGAGUAAGUCGGUUACUUCAAAAAGAGCAAACACUGGGGAUCAAAUUGUUUUAAGAGGUAUUUCAGUUUUAAAUGCAAAAUAGCCUUAUUUUCAUUUAGUUUGUUAGCACUAUAGUGAGCUUUUCAAAUACUAUUUUAAUCUUUAUAUUUAACUUAUAAAUUUUGCUUUCUAUGGAAAUAAAUUUUGUAUUUGUAUUAAAAAUAAACUUCCCUUUUAUACAG
Molecule: long non-coding RNA, 3214 nt
Filed under: Homo sapiens (human)
Lineage: Eukaryota; Metazoa; Chordata; Mammalia; Primates; Hominidae
Description: non-protein coding lnc-NPEPPS-2:1
Source: RNAcentral